AGGACGAACGCUGGCGGCGUGCUUAACACAUGCAAGUCGAGCGAUGAAACACCUUCGGGGUGUGAAUUAGCGGCGAACGGGUGAGGAACACGUGAAGAAUCUGCCUUCAACUCUGGGAUAACUCCGGGAAACCGGGGCUAAUACCGGAUAUGAGCCUUGAUCGCAUGAUCGGGGCUGGAAAGUUUUUCGGUUGAAGAUGACUUCGCGGCCUAUCAGCUUGUUGGUGAGGUAAUGGCUCACCAAGGCGACGACGGGUAGCCGGCCUGAGAGGGCGACCGGCCACACUGGGACUGAGACACGGCCCAGACUCCUACGGGAGGCAGCAGUGGGGAAUAUUGGGCAAUGGAGGAAACUCUGACCCAGCGACGCCGCGUGAGGGAUGAAGGCCUUCGGGUUGUAAACCUCUUUCAGUAGGGAAGAAGCGAAAGUGACGGUACCUACAGAAGAAGCACCGGCUAACUAUGUG
RNAcentral lists this ribosomal RNA (466 nucleotides) under uncultured bacterium. Its description in RNAcentral is "bacterial SSU rRNA". It matches the Rfam family "Bacterial small subunit ribosomal RNA", at positions 26 to 507 of the family's 1533-position model. The record is from RNAcentral.